GCCUGGGUGGCUCAGUAGGUUAAGCUUCUGACUUCAGCUCAGGUCACGAUCUCAUACUCCGUGAGUUCGAGCCCCGCAUCAGGCU
RNAcentral lists this transfer RNA (85 nucleotides) under Felis catus (domestic cat). It matches the Rfam family "tRNA". Rfam says of the family: Transfer RNA (tRNA) molecules are approximately 80 nucleotides in length. Their secondary structure includes four short double-helical elements and three loops (D, anti-codon, and T loops). The record is from Rfam by way of RNAcentral. Lineage: Eukaryota; Metazoa; Chordata; Mammalia; Carnivora; Felidae.